This 382-nucleotide unclassified non-coding RNA is filed under the name uncultured Verrucomicrobiae bacterium. RNAcentral describes it as "contains 16S-23S intergenic spacer region". Lineage: Bacteria; Pseudomonadati; Verrucomicrobiota; Verrucomicrobiia. The record is from RNAcentral.
UCCGAGUUGUCCCCGGCAGUCUCCUAUGAGUCCCCGACUUAACUCGCUGGUAACAUAGGACAAGGGUUGCGCUCGUUGCGGGACUUAACCCAACAUCUCACGACACGAGCUGACGACAGCCAUGCACCACCUGUGCAAGCUCCCCUUGCGGGGUCGUCCCACUUUCAUGGUCCUACCACUUGCAUGUCAAGGCCAGGUAAGGUUCUUCGCAUUGCAUCGAAUUAAGCCACAUACUCCACCGCUUGUGCAGGCCCCCGUCAAUUUCUUUGAGUUUGAAUCUUGCGACCGUACUUCCCAGGCGGCGCGUUUAUCGCGUUAGCUUCGCCACAAAAGGGGUCGAUUCCUUUUACAGCAAACGCGCACCGUUUACGGCUAGGACUAC